GACGAACGCUGGCGGUGUGCUUAACACAUGCAAGUCGAACGGUAAGGCCCUUUCGGGGGUACACGAGUGGCGAACGGGUGAGUAACACGUGAGUAACCUGCCCUCAUCUCUGGGAUAACAGUCGGAAACGGUUGCUAAUACUGGAUAUGAGCUUGCAAGGCAUCUUGUGGGUUGGAAAGAUUUUUUUGGUUGGGGAUGGACUCGCGGCCUAUCAGCUUGUUGGUGAGGUAGUGGCUCACCAAGGCUUCGACGGGUAGCCGGCCUGAGAGGGCGACCGGCCACAUUGGGACUGAGAUACGGCCCAAACUCCUACGGGAGGCAGCAGUGGGGAAUAUUGCACAAUGGACGGAAGUCUGAUGCAGCAACGCCGCGUGCGGGAGGACGGCCUUCGGGUUGUAAACCGCUUUCAAUUGUGACGAAGCUUUUUGCGACGGUAGCAGUAGAAGAAGCACCGGCUAACUACGUG
Molecule: ribosomal RNA, 466 nt
Filed under: uncultured bacterium
Lineage: Bacteria
Description: partial 16S ribosomal RNA
Rfam family: Bacterial small subunit ribosomal RNA
Source: RNAcentral